AGGAACACAAUACUGCUUGAAAACAGUAUUAUUUAGCUGUGAUCUUCUGUAAGGUCGAGGUACUUCCCCAGUCGGGCUGCUUCAGAUUGAGCAGAAUAUUUUCUGCUGUACCCUACCUCUAUUAUUUAUUCAUAGGCACAUACUUUCACACUAAUGACUUCAUCAAGCAAACUGCGUAUAACGUAAAUAUAUUUCUGCAAUAGGUCUUGGUGUUCAUAAAAUACGCAUUCUGUUUAACCACGGCUUUGUUUGUGCU
RNAcentral lists this unclassified non-coding RNA (256 nucleotides) under Melitaea cinxia (Glanville fritillary). RNAcentral's name for it is "misc RNA ENSMCXG00005008720.1". The record is from RNAcentral. Lineage: Eukaryota; Metazoa; Arthropoda; Insecta; Lepidoptera; Nymphalidae.